RNAcentral lists this ribosomal RNA (253 nucleotides) under uncultured bacterium. RNAcentral's name for it is "partial 16S ribosomal RNA". It matches the Rfam family "Bacterial small subunit ribosomal RNA", at positions 524 to 776 of the family's 1533-position model. The record is from RNAcentral.
UACGAAGGGGGCUAGCGUUGCUCGGAAUCACUGGGCGUAAAGCGCACGUAGGCGGCUUUCUAAGUCAGGGGUGAAAUCCUGGAGCUCAACUCCAGAACUGCCUUUGAUACUGGGAAGCUCGAGUCCGGAAGAGGUGAGUGGAACUGCGAGUGUAGAGGUGAAAUUCGUAGAUAUUCGCAAGAACACCAGUGGCGAAGGCGGCUCACUGGUCCGGUACUGACGCUGAGGUGCGAAAGCUAGGGGAGCGAACAGG